GGUCCAGCCCGGGGACCGUCCAGUCCAUACCGGGCAAGGGACCUGCCGGGCGAGGGACCUGAAGCCGCUGAGUGAAAGGCUCUUCCUCCCCAGGGACACGCUUCCGACCUCUGUCCAUGCACCUGGGUGAAAGGCGUCUUUCCUAGUACGCGCCCACUGCCUUACCCUUGGGAAUGGGUCGGUGCUGGGCCGACUCUCAUCUGCUUGCUUCCGCUGAGCGGGGUGAGCACAUGCCCGGUCGGUGUGGACGUGGUGAGGACUGAUGAGUGUCCCCCCCCCCCCAGUCUGUUUGUUGUGUAACAGUCGUAUCUACGCAGUAACCCACGGCAUUCAUUCACUUGAUCACACUGAGGUGUGCAGCACGGUCCACUAAUUGCACCCAGGUGUGGGCGCCACAGCCGCGUCUCCUCCUAAGAGGUGGCGGAAGGUGGUGCUGUUGCCGUCCCGGCCCAGCUUACAGAGCAGGAGACCAGAGGCGCAGGGAGUUGGCCUUCCUGGCUCAGGACCCCAGGGAGUGGCGAACCAGGGCUCGCUCCCAGGCCUCACCAGCACGCCUGAGCUUCGAGUUCUGCUGCUUCCAGGAGGACGGGCCUGCCGGAUGUUGUCCACGGUCCCUGGGUUUCCAUGGUGACUUUGCCACACACAUGUGGAUCCCCAAACAACGCGUGGCUCAGUCGAGCUUUUGGGUUUCAUAAAGGUGGCCUUAAGUCACCCAGGGCCUGCAGCCCCCCGACCAUGGCAGGAGCGUGUCCUCCUCCACCGCCUGCUCCCCUCUCCACCAGCACCCUGGGAAUAGUCGGAGCUACUGGAAUUUCUAUUGAGGGGUAUAUCCUUUGCAAAGGGUUGUGGAGUUUACGGAACUGUUGCUCAUCGGCGUCUCUUUGUGGCAUGUCCUUGCUCCCUUCUUUUCCCAGCCAUCUGGAAGACACUCUGCAACGAGGACCAUGAAAUGGGACCCGUGUGAGACAGUUUCUGGGCGUUUCUGGGAACACAGUUGGGCACCAAGAUCAGCGUUUCCUGGCAGUUUCGUGGGGGCAGAACGCACUGUUGUGGUAAGAACGGGCUGGGGAGCCAGGCGGUCCUGGGCUGAGCCCCUGUGUGCCCCAGCAGUUGCACAACAGUGAACCCCCCAAACCCCCCGGCCCACAACAAGAGGCUUCCACUCCUACGCUGCGGGCCUGCCGGUGGACUGUGGUUCUGCCACGCAGGAUGGACUCCGCGAGGCCCCUCUGCCUGAGGUCGCCUAUUGGCUGAGCUUGGACUGGUCAUCAGUUGCUGCAUGACGAAGUCCCAAAAAACUCAGUGGCUUAAAUCAACAAUAUUGGACUUCUCUUGAUUUCUUUGGGCUGACUGGACGGUCUCCUGCUGGUGGUACCCCCUGGGCUCACCGCUGUGGCCCUCAUCCCACCAGCCUCCCUCCCCUGUGCAGGGCCCCUCCGUCCUGUGCCAUGUGUCUCUCACAGACUGACUUCCUCCCAAUAUGGUGGGCUCAGGGGUCCCUCAGAGGGAGAGUGCAGGAGGCUGGGCCUCCUAAGGGCUGGGUUUGGGGCCUUACACUCCCUUCUGCCUCGUUCUACUGGUUAGAACAAGUCACGAGGUGGCCAGCUCAUGUGCAGGUUGAGGGGACAGAAGCAGACUCCACCCCCGUGGUGACAAAAGAGAAAAGCUCCCAUUGCAAGGGGAGGAGGGUUCAGGGUGGCGUGACUCACCGUGGGGUCACACAGAGGUGACUGUAAGCACAGUCCAGCGCGGUUGGGCUCAAGUCCACUUCUGCUUUAUCUGGAACCAGGGCUGACAGGCCAUGAGUGAGCCGGGAUAUGGUCUUCGUCGGGUGGACCACGGGAGCCCAAACCAAGCCAAACUGCACAAGCACCUCAAAGCCACAGCCGCUGUCAUGGUCACUGACGUUCCAUUGGCCAAAGCAAGCCACAGGACCAAGGCCAACAUCACAGCGCAGGCGUGGUGGGAAGAGGUGUGUGUGUGUGUGUGAAGCUAAGCAAUGAUCCAAGCUUCAAUGACCUCACUGUACCUCCUGAAAUUGAAGACCUGGGCAACACAGGUAACUCAUCUCUCAUGGGACGAUGGUAAGGCAAGAUGACCACCUCGUCCCUAUCUGCCUGGGACUCUGCUACUUUAGCACUGAAGGGCUUAUGUUCCAAGGGUUCCCUCCAGUCCCGGGAAGGCAGGGAGCGUCGGGCCGUCCUGUUUUGAAGACUAGGUGAGAUCCUCCCAAUAGUCCCUCACUAGAUGUGCUUAUGGUGAGGAGCCCCUCUCUACAGAGGACAAGAGCAACUUUCUGGUGGCCACACAGACCGUCCAGGGGAUAACCCACAUCUAAACCUGGUGCUCUCCUGCACAAGUGGCCCUCUCCUGCAGAUUCCCACACGUCCUGCUUCCCGGGACCUGGUGCUCGAGGUCUCCUCUCCCUGGUCCUCACAAGAGCCCUGUGUUGGGAGGAAACCUGAGGCCCAGAGCCCCUGUCAGUGAGCACAUGGGCGCCCGAUUCAGGCCGGAGUGCUGGGUACCCACAGGACACACAAGAGCUAGCCUGUAACCAGACAGGGCCCUUGAGAGGCAGGGAGGACGAUGCCCUGUGAGGCCUCCAGCUGGCCUGGUCAUUGGCUGCUCGGCUGGGAAGAGCUGAUCCUCUGCACCUCCAUGAACUGGGCCUCAGGCAAGUGGCCCGUCCUGACCCACUAGAGUUGGAGUCCAAUCUCCCCUGGCCUCAGACUCACUGAUGGUGUGGCUUGGAGCAAGCAGCCCUGGCCUCGACUUCUCCACUUACGUACGGCAUGUUUUCUCUCCCACCCUGUGACGCCCUCUGCCAUGUGAAGGUGCAGCAGGGGACCCUUGCCAGAUGUCAGCUCCUUGAUAAUGACUUGCCAUUCUCCACAACUGUGAGCUGAACAAACUUCCACUCAUUAUAAGUCACCUGGCCGGGCUGGGGAUACAGCUCAGUUGGUAGGGUGCUUGUCCUGCAUGCACAAAGCCCCGGGUCCAAUCCCCAGCACCACAAAAAAUAAAAAAAUAAAUCACCUGGCCUUGGGUGCUUUGUUAUAGCAACAGAAAACUCAGAUAAUCAUCUCCCUGACUUCCCAAGAACCACUAGGAAAGUGAGCCAAAGAGUCUCCCUGAACUAGGAGGGGCCAUUUCAGGUGACCUGGUCACCUCCUUUCAGGUGAACUCCAACAGAGGUAGUUUAUUGUUAUUUUUUUUUCCUAGAUGAAAAAGAAAAUGACAAAGACGAGGCACAUGGUCACCGAAUAGCAUCCGAUGUGCAAUCGACCCCAGGGUCUUGCCUGUGUGCUAUUAAAGAACCGCCCAUCUUCUUGAAGCCACAGUUGUGCUGGACAGUGAAUCAGGGGCCCUGCUCUCUGCUUCUCCCUGCUGUCAGGACACAGCCCGAUGGGAAAGCAGCUCAGCUCAGUCAACAAAAAGGCACGAGUACUUACAUACGGGACAGAGGAGGGUGGUGCAGACCCUGCCCGACACCAGUGAAGGGGCGAGUGGACUCCCUCGGUGAGACUGGUGAGGAUGUGGUCAUGAUGCUAUCCAGCACCAGGAAGACCCCUGCGCUCCCCAGGGAAUCCCCACUCUGAGACCGGGGGCUGCCACUCCCAUCAUGUCCUGGGUUCCUUCCUCUUCCGAGGGCAUCCAGAGGACAGGCACCUUCUGCUGGGGAUGUUUCCUAAAUCCUCAACAUCUGGAAGGAGCUGCCACAAAGGCCCCCUUUGUGUAGCCAGGGAAAUGGGCAAUAAAAUAGCGCCAGACCCCGCAAAGCUGGGCAAGGAGGCGCACGGUCCAGGGCCCUGGGAGUGGACACGGUGAGGUCGCGGAGAGGUGUGUCCGGAGGCACAGGUCAAUAAAUCACAGCAUCGCUUAUCUAGUGCUUCCUGUGUGCCGGAGGCUGCUCAAGGGCUGUGUCCACAGUGUCUCGUUGACAGGAAGGUUUGCAAGGUGGUCACAGCAAAGGGGGACGGUGCCUCUGAAAUCAUAGAGAUGUGGGGACAGCAGAGGACAAAGCACGGGCAGAAGAUAGAGGUAUCAAAGUAACGUCUGCACAGAGUCGCCUGGCUGCCUCUUUCUAUGUUAACCACCAACCUUCAGCACCCCGAAAGAACCAUCUGGAACCCUCUAUGGUAAAAUGGGUCAUCUCAAGUCCUGCAGAGAGUGAUAUGUAGAGGUCCCCAGUGAAGUCACACCUUUGUCCCUGUGUCCUACAAUGAGGUUUACCAGUUGUCAGGGACCCUCCCAUCCCACCCCCGUAGGCAGAGUGUUCCGCGAAGCUUCACUUGCAUUUCAGAAAAGUCCCUACUAGGAAAGGGAGAGAUGGGAGUAAGAACAUGGUGGGUUUGGGGGAAGAGAAGAAAGGAUCCCGGGGGUAAAGACACUCCAGGGAGCAGAAGGACCAACACUACCCCCGGUUUUCAUUGUCAUCCUUGGAGAGAGAGAAAAAAAAUGGCUACCUCUGUGACAUAAGAUCAGUAGUCCACAGGCAGACUUCUAUGGCAACGAGAGCUUUGGAAAGUAAAAGUGCAACAGCAGAAAAGAAAAAGAAAAAACCAGUAGUGGAGCUGGAACGUGGGGUCAAGCAGGCCACGGACAGAAAGAGGUAAACGAAGAGGAAUGAUGAGAAAGGGGGUCCAACUGGGAGGUCUGAGAUCCUACAGAUAAGGAUCCCCAAAGAUAAGCUGAAAAAAGGGCGAGGGGAAGAAAUUGUGAAACAUAAUACAAGGAAAGGAACCUGGGUUUCCAGGUUACACGGGCCGUGCUGGCCCAGUCCAGUCAACGAAGCAGCGUCCCACCAGCACCUGUGCCCUGAGAUCUCCUCAUGCCGCCUUCCUGUCCUCAGCGGGCAGGUACCCCACAUCAUUCUGACUCACCCUCUGUCUCCUUUUUCUGCUUAGAAGGGCCUUUGUGGUUAUCUUGGUCCAAGGGGGAAAUCCAGGGUCCUCUUAUUUUGAGGUCAGCCGGUGAACAACCUGAAUUCCUCGGCCCUCUCCAUCCCUCUCUGCCAGGCACCAAGGUGUCCAGGUGCUGGGGAUUCGGUGGCAGACAUCUUCAUCUUCUUCAGGAAGCCCUUGUUCUGCAGGUUGCAACUUUGCAUAAAAUCUGGGUCAUCUCCUUGAGGAUCAAAGGGAGAGUGGAUGUUAGGAAGGAUCGCGGAGUAGACAGGAGGAGGGAGGGCAGGGCCCCUGGAGCCACCUAGAGCCAUGCUCCCAUCCCAGGCUGAGCCUCUGUAUCACCACCAGGGAAAGAAUCCUGGCUCGGGCCAAGCCACCUUGGGGGAGCUUCUGUUCCAAGAAGUCAAAUGAGGCCUAAGGAAACUCUCACUUUUUAAGGUACGAAGUUAACAAUAUUUGAACUCAAAACGGGAAGAGAUACCAGGCAAGCACAGAGUUGGGAAACAACCACCAACCUCACCUGAGAGAUCUGUGGAUUUAAAGAACUCUGAACUUAAAGAAAUCACCUUGGGGCGCAUCUUCAGAGAGAGGGAAAGAAGAGGCACAUCACGACGGCCUGUCUCUAGAAUCUCAUGGUGCGUUGGACUCAUUAAGCUUUGGAAAUCUUUUACUUAAUAAGAAAUACGGUUUUUCAUUUUAAGAUGACAGACACGGUUCGGAGCGUCUGAAGAAACCCAUCCGAAGGUACAAGGAAAAUGCCUGGCGACGCGACCCCUGGCUGUGUUGUGGGGUGACAGGGUCAGCCUGGGAGAGUCCAAGGGACCUUCCCCGUGAGUGUGCCCAAGGCCCUUCCUGAGCUACAAAGUUCAUGGCCAGAAUCCCAUUUUCCAUCCCUCAUAAGACCCUGCUCUUAGGAACAGAGCUUGGAAGGAAGUGCGCAGGACAUUCCUGGGGCCGCAUCUGCUCCCCGAAGCCCCGCCGCCCCGCCCUGGGGAACACAGCUGAGAUCCUUAUCGCCCCCAGCUCUGGCACACUGAGCGUGUGAUACACCUGUCUCCACCAUCAGGCAAAUGAGUGGGUUCACAGGCAGAGGCCUGCCCUGCCAAACAAUGCUCCCCUUUGUCCCCGCCCAGAGCUCAGGAGCCGCAAGGAAGCCACAUCCGUCAGCACCUGUCAGGGCCCUUGAAGCACACAAUGCCAGCGGUGACCCCCACCCCGAGCCGAGCCCCAGGCUUCCCGCAGGCUGCUCUAACUGACACGCAACGUGUCAGUCACCUUCUGAAAGCCAGGGGUGGGGCCGUGGAAGGGGGGCACUGGGCCUGCCUCCCAGAAGCCAACCAGAGCCAGAGACGGUGCUGUGAAACCCUGACACAUCCUUUCUUAAACCCAGCCCCAAAGAGCACAGCACGAAGAAAAAUCAUCUCCCUCAUCGCUAGAGAUGUAGAACAUUUUUUCAUCUAUUUAUUGACUGAUGGUAUAUCCUCUUCUGAGAAGUGGCUGUUCAGUUCCUUGGCCCAUUUAUUGAUUGUGUUCUUUGGGUGUUUUGUUAUUGUUGUUGUUUUUGGAGUUAAGAUUUUUGAGUUCUUUAUAUAUCCUAGAGAUGAGUGCUCUAUCUGAGGUGCAUGUGGUAAAAAUGUGCUCCCAAGAUACAGGCUCUCUAUUCACCUCACUGAUUGUUUCUUUUACUGAGAAGAAGCUUUUUUGUUUGAAUCCAUCCCAUUUAUUGAUUCUUGAUUUUAAUUUUUGUGCUAGAGGAGUCAGAAUGGCAGCUAUUAAGAAUGUGAACAACAAUAAGUGUUGGCAAAGAUAUUGGGACACUCAUACACUGCUGGUGGGACUGCAAAUUAGUGCAGCCAAUGUGGAAAGCGGUAUGGAGAUUCCUUGGAAAAUUGGGAAUGGAACCACCACUUGAUCCAGUUAUCCCACUCCUCAGUCAAUACCCAAAGACACAAACAACAUACUACAGGGACACAGCCACAUCAAUGUUUAUUGCAGCACAAUUCACAAUAGCUAAACUGUGCAGCCAACCUAGAUGCCCAUCAGUAUAUGAAUGAUAAAGAAAAUGUUACACACACACACACACACACACAAUGGAAUACUAUUCAGAAUUAAAAGAGAAUAAAAUCAUGGCAUUUGCAGGUAAAUGGAUGGAGCUGGAGAAUAUAAUGCUAAGUGAUGUAAGCCAGUCCCCCCAAAACCAAAUGCUGAAUGUUUUCUCAAUAAAAGGAGGCUGAUUCAUAGUGGGUACGGAGGGGAGCGUGGGAGGAAUAGAUGAACUCUAG
This 7186-nucleotide long non-coding RNA is filed under the name Marmota monax (woodchuck). The record is from RNAcentral. Lineage: Eukaryota; Metazoa; Chordata; Mammalia; Rodentia; Sciuridae.